GACGAACGCUGGCGGCGUGCUUAAUGAAUGCGAGUCGAGCGAGAACCGGACUGAGGAAACCUUCGGGUGGAAUCAGUCUGGGGAGAGCGGCAAACGGGUGAGUAACACGUGGGUAACCUGCCCCUCAGACGGGGAUAAUUCGCCGAAAGGCGGACUAAUACCCGAUGGUGAUGUGCCAACACAUGUUGAUACAUCUAAAGGCUCCGGUGCUGAGGGAGGGGUCCGCGGCCGAUUAGCUUGUUGGUAGGGUAACGGCCUACCAAGGCUUCGAUCGGUAGCCGGUCUGAGAGGAUGACCGGUCACACUGGGACUGAGACAUGGUCCAGACUCCUACGGGAGUUAGCAUCAGGGAAUCUUGCGCAAUGGGCGAAAGCCUGACGCAGCGACGCCGCGUGGGUGAUGAAGGCCUGCGGGUCGUAAAGCCCUGUCGGGGAAGGGAAGAAACAGCCACCUUCGGGUGCUUUGACUGUACCUCCGGAGGAAGCCCCGGCUAAUUACGUGCCAGCAGCCGCGGUAAUACGUAAGGGGCCAGCGUUGUCCGGAAUUACUGGGCGUAAAGAGCACGUAGGCGGUUAGGAAAGCGAUAGGUGAAAUCCCCCGGCUCAACCGAGGAACUGCUUAUCGAACUGCCUGACUAGAGCACGGGAGAGGGCACUGGAAUUCCUGGUGUAGCGGUGGAAUGCGUAUAUAUCAGGAGGAACACCGGUGGCGAAGGCUGGUGCCUGGAACGUUGCUGACGCUAAGGUGCGAAAGCCAGGGGAACAAACAGGAUUAGAUACCCCGGUAGUCCUGGCCGUAAACGAUGGACACUAGGUGUUGGAGGUUCGACCCCUUCAGUGCUGUUAAGCUAACGCGUUAAGUGUCCCGCCUGGGGAGUACGGUCGCAAGGCUGAAACUCAAAGGAAUUGACGGGGGCCCGCACAAGCGGUGGAGCAUGUGGGUCAAUGGGAUGAUACGCCGAGAACCUUACCAGGGCUUGACAUGACCCUGAUCCCCUGCGAAAGCAGGUCUUCUGGGCAACCAGACAGGGCCACAGGUGGGUGCAUGGUUGUCGACAGCUCGUGUCGUGAGAUGUUGGGUUAAGUCCCGCAACGAGCGCAACCCUCGCCGGAUGUUGCCAGCGGUUAGGCCGGGCACUCUUCCGGGACUGCCGGAGUAAUCCGGAGGAAGGGGGGGAUGACGUCAAAUCUGCAUGCCCCUUAUGUCCUGGGCUGCACACGUGCUACAAUGGCGAGUACAAAGGGUCGCGAAGCCGCGAGGCCCAGCUAAUCCCCAAAAACUCGUCCCAGUUCGGAUUGGAGUCUGCAACUCGACUCCAUGAAGUCGGAAUCGCUAGUAACCGUGGAUCAGCAAUGCCGCGGUGAAUACGUUCCCGGGCCUUGUACACACCGCCCGUCAAGUCACGGAAGCCGACAGCACCCCAAGUCCGCUACGGCGGCCCAAGGUGAGGUCAGUGACUGGG
This 1462-nucleotide ribosomal RNA is filed under the name uncultured bacterium. RNAcentral describes it as "16S ribosomal RNA". It matches the Rfam family "Bacterial small subunit ribosomal RNA". The record is from RNAcentral.